Molecule: ribosomal RNA, 253 nt
Filed under: uncultured bacterium
Lineage: Bacteria
Description: partial 16S ribosomal RNA
Rfam family: Bacterial small subunit ribosomal RNA
Source: RNAcentral
UACGAAGGGGGCUAGCGUUGCUCGGAAUCACUGGGCGUAAAGCGCACGUAGGCGGCUUUCUAAGUCAGGGGUGAAAUCCUGGAGCUCAACUCCAGAACUGCCUUUGAUACUGGAGAGCUUGAGUCCGGAAGAGGUGAGUGGAACUCCGAGUGUAGAGGUGAAAUUCGUAGAUAUCGGGAGGAACACCGGUGGCGAAGGCGGCGACCUGGGUAGAUACUGACGCUGAGGUGCGAAAGCGUGGGGAGCAAACAGG